Molecule: long non-coding RNA, 1059 nt
Filed under: Fragaria vesca (wild strawberry)
Lineage: Eukaryota; Viridiplantae; Streptophyta; Magnoliopsida; Rosales; Rosaceae
Description: long non-coding RNA (FVES_LNC004934)
Source: RNAcentral
GAAGAGAGUCUUAAACUACUCCCACGACAUAUUCAGCGCAUCCUCAACAUUCCUGCUGGCAAGCGAUCACCAGUGAUGUGCUGAAUUAUCCAGGAAAGUUACUGCCAUCUUCACCUUCCUUUCUUCUGGCAACUCUGUGCUCGCAAAAGCCUUUUCCAUUUUAUCCACCCAAGUAUAAGCAUCAAGGGGUCCCUUGGCACCUUUGAACUCUCUGGCUCCAGCUUCAAAAACUUCUCUCCUUUUCACAGUAGGAGGGCGUGGAGCUCGAUCCAUGACAUCCCUCAGCAUAUUUCCAAUAUCAUCAACCAGUCCCCUGACCUCAUUGCCCUCAUCGGCAUUGGUCGAAGUAGCCACACGGGGUUGCCGUGGGCGCCUAGGAGGCAUAGUAUCUGAGGAAGAAGAAAUUUAGUAGUCCAUAAACAAAACUAACACAAUAAUCACAUAUACCCAAUAACACAUAGCAUCAAAAGCAUAAAAUGCCAAUGAAUCCGCCGCGGUCGGAUCAUCACUCUAUAGACACUACGUGUUACUUAGGCAAAUGUGAUAGUGACAAGGAAGCAGGAAAAGGAAACCUAUAGCUCUGAUACCAACUGACACGACCCACCCCGAAUUUCACCCUGAAACUCGGAGUAAGUCAUGCGGGGACCACCUCCAAGGAAAAUUUACUGAAAAGAUUGAGAAAAUCUCCCUUGCAGAUGGACAACCCUAACUCGAAAAUUCCAAAUUUUACUCUUAAAUCAACACUUCCAAACAUCACAUAAUUAUCCUUCAGAAAUUCUACACAUCAUAUACAAUAAUCCCAAAGUAUUCAGAGCUACUAAACACAAGCGGAAGCAAGAAAACACGAGUAGGUUGAACAUGUAACUUACUGAUGAAAACUGGCAGAAAUGCGGGUGACUAUGCCUCGCCUCCUACUAGAUCCAACCCGAACUCUGCAGACUGGGCAAUUUAAAACGAAAGGCCCAGGGGAAAACAUUUAAUAACGUUAGAGUGAGUGGACAAAAAUAAAAUAAAGGAAAUAAUUCUUUAUGCUUUCCCAAUUUUUACUUUUCCAUAGAA